Molecule: microRNA, 24 nt
Filed under: Bombyx mori (domestic silkworm)
Lineage: Eukaryota; Metazoa; Arthropoda; Insecta; Lepidoptera; Bombycidae
Description: bmo-miR-2808a-3p
Source: miRBase by way of RNAcentral
CGGUGGUAGAUUCUGCGAAGUACG